This 446-nucleotide ribosomal RNA is filed under the name uncultured bacterium. Its description in RNAcentral is "SSU rRNA". It matches the Rfam family "Bacterial small subunit ribosomal RNA", at positions 26 to 518 of the family's 1533-position model. The record is from RNAcentral.
AGAACGAACGCUGGCGGCAGGCUUAACACAUGCAAGUCGAACGCUCGUAGCAAUACGGGAGUGGCAGACGGGUGAGUAACGCGUGGGAACAUACCCUCCGGUUCGGAAUAGCUCAGGGAAACUUGGAUUAAUACCGGAUACGGCCGAGAGGCGAAAGAUUUAUCGCCGGAGGAUUGGCCCGCGUUCGAUUAGCUAGUUGGUGAGGUAACGGCUCACCAAGGCGAUGAUCGAUAGCUGGUCUGAGAGGAUGAUCAGCCACAUUGGGACUGAGACACGGCCCAAACUCCUACGGGAGGCAGCAGUGGGGAAUAUUGGACAAUGGGCGCAAGCCUGAUCCAGCCAUGCCGCGUGAGUGAUGACGGCCUUAGGUUGUAAAGCUCUUUCGCUCGGGACGAUAAUGACGGUACCGAGAUAAGAAGCCCGGCUAACUUCGUGCCAGCAGCCGC